Molecule: ribosomal RNA, 1097 nt
Filed under: Arthrobacter sp.
Lineage: Bacteria; Bacillati; Actinomycetota; Actinomycetes; Micrococcales; Micrococcaceae
Description: bacterial SSU rRNA
Source: RNAcentral
GAUGAUCCCAGCUUGCUGGGGGAUUAGUGGCGAACGGGUGASYAACACGUGAGUAACCUGCCCUUGACUCUGGGAUAAGCCUGGGAAACUGGGUCUAAUACCGGAUAUGACUCCUCAUCGCAUGGUGGGGGGUGGAAAGCUUUUGUGGUUUUGGAUGGACUCGCGGCCUAUCAGCUUGUUGGUGGGGUAAUGGCCUACCAAGGCGACGACGGGUAGCCGGCCUGAGAGGGUGACCGGCCACACUGGGACUGAGACACGGCCCAGACUCCUACGGGAGGCAGCAGUGGGGAAUAUUGCACAAUGGGCGCAAGCCUGAUGCAGCGACGCCGCGUGAGGGAUGACGGCCUUCGGGUUGUAAACCUCUUUCAGUAGGGAAGAAGCGAAAGUGACGGUACCUGCAGAAGAAGCGCCGGCUAACUACGUGCCAGCAGCCGCGGUAAUACGUAGGGCGCAAGCGUUAUCCGGAAUUAUUGGGCGUAAAGAGCUCGUAGGCGGUUUGUCGCGUCUGCUGUGAAAGACCGGGGCUCAACUCCGGUUCUGCAGUGGGUACGGGCAGACUAGAGUGCAGUAGGGGAGACUGGAAUUCCUGGUGUAGCGGUGAAAUGCGCAGAUAUCAGGAGGAACACCGAUGGCGAAGGCAGGUCUCUGGGCUGUAACUGACGCUGAGGAGCGAAAGCAUGGGGAGCGAACAGGAUUAGAUACCCUGGUAGUCCAUGCCGUAAACGUUGGGCACUAGGUGUGGGGGACAUUCCACGUUUUCCGCGCCGUAGCUAACGCAUUAAGUGCCCCGCCUGGGGAGUACGGCCGCAAGGCUAAAACUCAAAGGAAUUGACGGGGGCCCGCACAAGCGGCGGAGCAUGCGGAUUAAUUCGAUGCAACGCGAAGAACCUUACCAAGGCUUGACAUGAACCGGAAAGACCUGGAAACAGGUGCCCCGCUUGCGGUCGGUUUACAGGUGGUGCAUGGUUUGUCGUCAGCUCGUGUCGUGAGAUGUUGGUUAAGUCCCGCACGAGCGCACCCUCGUUCUWUGUUGCAGCGGUUUCGCCGGGGACUCAUAGGAGACUGCUGGGAUUCACUCGCAGAAAGGUGGGGGAACG